CUAAUCUUAGUUUAAGUUAAGAAUGAUGGUUUUGGGGACCUUUGGUCUCAGUGAGAGAUUUGA
RNAcentral lists this transfer RNA (63 nucleotides) under Taenia pisiformis. Its description in RNAcentral is "tRNA-Pro". The record is from RNAcentral. RNAcentral also lists the same sequence under 1 other name. Lineage: Eukaryota; Metazoa; Platyhelminthes; Cestoda; Cyclophyllidea; Taeniidae.